This 387-nucleotide ribosomal RNA is filed under the name uncultured bacterium. RNAcentral describes it as "bacterial SSU rRNA". It matches the Rfam family "Bacterial small subunit ribosomal RNA", at positions 335 to 714 of the family's 1533-position model. The record is from RNAcentral.
ACUCCUACGGGAGGCAGCAGUGGGGAAUAUUGCACAAUGGGGGAAACCCUGAUGCAGCCAUGCCGCGUGUGUGAAGAAGGCCUUCGGUUGUAAAGCACUUUCAGUAGGGAGGAAGGUAGUGUAGUUAACACCUGCAUUAUUUGUACGUUACCUACAGAAGAAGCACCGGCUAACUCCGUGCCAGCAGCCGCGGUAAUACGGAGGGUGCGAGCGUUAAUCGGAAUUACUGGGCGUAAAGCGCAUGCAGGCGGCCUGUUAAGUCAGAUGUGAAAGCCCGGGGUCUAACCUCGGAAUUGCAUUUGAAACUGGCAGGCUAGAGUCUUGUAGAGGGGUUAGAAUUUCGAGGUGUAGCGGUGAAAUGCGUAGAGAUCUGAAGGAAUACCGAGU